RNAcentral lists this long non-coding RNA (895 nucleotides) under Solanum lycopersicum (tomato). Its description in RNAcentral is "long non-coding RNA (SLYC_LNC001201)". The record is from RNAcentral. Lineage: Eukaryota; Viridiplantae; Streptophyta; Magnoliopsida; Solanales; Solanaceae.
GCACUUGGUGAGGGCAUCCUGCAGGAAUGAAAACUGACUCUCCAAGUCUUUGCUCAAAUGUCCAAGGUUCAAUCCCUAAAAUAGUAAGCGUGCACAUCUUGAGUUUAUUAAAUAAAAUGUGAUCCUUGUUAUUGAGGAAAGAUAACGAACAGGGUAAAUUACUAACCGAAUUCUUCCUUCAGUUUUCUCUUGUGCUCCAAAGUUAAGUAGAAGCUCUGGUCAUGGAUUGGAUGAAAAACCUGAUCAACCGGACAACAGAAAGUGUGCCUAAAUUCCUUUGCAUGCUUUAAAAGAUACUCACUCAACUUGGGUACAUCUUCCCUUCUGAAAAUGUCCCACAAUGCACCUCCAGUUGUCUCUGAAUCAUCAAAGGUUUUCUCCUCCCUGCUAAUGUCACUAGACAUCUUCAUAGGAUAUUUAUCAGCCUCGCAUUCGAUGCGCUCUCUUUCAUCCUGAGCUCUAUGCAUCUGUUUCACUAUUUCAAUUGCCGACCGCUGCUCAUCAGUUAUAGCCAUCUCUGCUGUGUGUGUCAAAAUAUUUAUCUGAGCAAUUCAAAAUUUUAAAAUAUUAGCUUGUCAUGAAAUAAGCCUGAAAAAGUAAUGGUUGCAGUCUUUGCAGGCUUCAUCAUGGACAGAAUACAGAACUGGGAAAAGCAGUAAACUGCUACCAAGGUGAGAAUAAACAUUAAACUAGAUUGUGGUAUGUGGAUUAAUUUACCGGGAAUGUGACAAUUGUCGAACAUAUUGUAUAGGACUGGCCAUAAGGCAGAAGAGAUUGGACGAAUGUGGUUCUAUAUAUUUGAAAUAAAAUUUUAGUUUUUUUUGCUCAUUUUGGAAUUUUCCUACAAUUGAGAUACCUUCUUGCCAAGGUCCUUGUCGAUUUGGUUAUAGUUUUU